CCAUGAUGGAGGCUAUUUGAGUGUGAAAAACCAUACAGUUAGCCAUUAUUAGCUAACGUUAACAGCUAGCUAGCGUUACUUAUAUAAAACCUCUAAUUUAUGUCCUGUUUCCAACGCGAAUUAAACACUACCUGGGGCCUAUCACUCUACUGACAAAAGUCUACUACUCAACUGGAGCCUCUUGGGAUCCUUGACCCAUCUUCACUGCCUCCGCAUACGACAUCUUCUGACUAGAUGCUUUGUUGCGUAUUGCUGCCCUUCACAGGAACAGGAGGGUCUGUCUCUAUCAGCCCCAGGCCCUGUAUCAUCCCUGCACUGAGACUGAAGAGAAGGGUCUGGGCUGCAGACUGGAUCCCUGACUGGAGCCCCUGUCUCUCUGAUGACCACCAGGACUGAGGUUGUUCUGUCCACCGGUUGUGUUCUGUGUGGUGGUGGAGUCUCUGUCCCUUGUGGUUUGAUUCUUGUUCCGACUUGGGAAAUAAGAGUGACAGCUCCUGAUCCAGGGUUCUGAUCCGGGGCUAGGGUUUGUGACCAGCUGCUUCAGAUGUCCAGUCUCUCCCACCAGCAACACCAGAUAUCAGCAGGUCCUCAUGGACUGCAGACUGUAAACACAAAUUGUACAGAAGAACAUAAAGGUUUAUAUAAGAAACUCUUUUAAUAAUGUUAGUA
Molecule: long non-coding RNA, 669 nt
Organism: Oncorhynchus mykiss (rainbow trout)
Lineage: Eukaryota; Metazoa; Chordata; Actinopteri; Salmoniformes; Salmonidae
Source: RefSeq, a predicted model, not a curated record